AACAUGAGUCUAAUAUAAAAACUGUUUUAGAACAGGAUUUUAGGGUUUAUAAAAUGGAUAGAGAUUUUAAAAAAUAAUUGUCUGCAAAUACAUUUUUUUUUUACUUGUAAUGAGACAGAAAUAUAGGUUCUCAGCCGUUAUAUUAUUUCUGAUAUAGCAGAGAAGUGAAAUUUGUGUAUAAUGCUAUAUAUAUCUUUUCUAAGAUGCAAAGGAGUAUAAUUUUAUUUUUGUUGUAUGUGAAGGCUCUGUCUAGGCACAUUGGCCACCAAUUUCAUUUUUUUUGCAGAGCAUGGAUUGUAAAGUCACAUAUCCUUAAGUUAAUGUAAAGGGCAUAAGAAAGAAAAGAGAGAGCAUAAUUUUUGUUGUUGCUGUUGUCAUUUGAAAUUUCCAUAGUGUCUGUGCACAUUGGGCACCAUUUCAUUUUUAUUGUGCUGCACUGAUAGCAAUGUCACAUAUCAUUAAGUUAACACCGAGUAAGUAAAAAAGAAAAACAGAAUUUUUUGCUGCUAUUACUGUUCUUUGAAAUUUUUCUACUCUGUACAUAUUUUUGUAGGAAGGAAGAAGUACCAGCAAUUUUAAUAUAUAGCUAAAAAGAAGCUCUAUUGUUUUUUGGGGUUUGUUUUUUUUUUUUUGCACUGCUCUGUGAUGCAGUGGUUAGAAACAUAAUGCUAUUAAUAUAUCCUAUCCCUGCGAUGAAGAUUUUGUGAUGUGCUAUUCUUCCAUUUUUUGAAAAAUAUCCCACUCCCGUAUUUCUUAACCCCAGCACAAUUUAUUAAAAUGCUACCUUAUCUGCCUUAAUACAGUUCCUGUGUCCACCGUUCAAUGAGUCCUUUAUGUCCUGAAGGGGAGGCAUAACCAAGGCUUUGGGGAACAGUGGGUUCAUAAGUCAUAGAAAUCAUAGAGAAAUAGUGCUGAAAGGGACUUCCAGAGGUCAUUCAGUCCAACCCCCUGCCUGAGGCAGGAUCAUCCCUAUCCAAACCAUCUCAUACAAGCUAUAAUCUAAAGUUUUUGUAAAACUGUCAUCAACCCUGACAAAACACAAGACAUAAUGCCCUAACCUACCACAGGUUAAGGAGUUAAUGUCCUGCUUCUAAAAAAGGUUGUUAACAUAUGCUCAAGAGAUCCCAGGUAGAGAGCCAUGCCCCCCACUACAGAGGAAGGCUAAAACCCUCACAGUCCAUGCUAAUCUGACCAUGGGGUAAAUUUCCUUCCUGACCCCAAAUAUAACAAUCAGUCUGACCCUGAGUAGAAGGGCAAGACCUUCUAGUUGGGAAUCUGCAGCCUUGGUGCUGGCAGGAUUAUAUAGAUUAGUUUUAAACUCUGAUACACAGACACAACUGCUAUUAAGGUGUAGUAUGGUGAAUACAUUGCAUUUUAUUGUCUUUAUUUCUGAGGGAAGAAUUGUACUGUUUAUCUAUUCUAAUCUUGAUCAUUUGGGACUAAGAUUUAGGCUCUACAUUGGGACUCUACAACUGAAAUCCUUGAUGUUGGUCAUAUAACCUACUGUCCAUUUUAGAGGAGUUAUCUCUAGAAAGGCAGAAGAUCAGCAGGCCAACUCCUAUAAAUCAAACUUCAUGCUUAUUUCUGCAAUCAAUAGUUACAGAUUCUAGGCUAGAUUCUCUGGUGCAUUCCUGUCCUUUUCUGUUGCUCUUCUAGUAUAAAUGUGUAAGUGGCCUGUGAAGCAGUUUGAUGGUCACAGCUGGUGCAGAGCUGGCAUUCUUAGCUUCUUUGGCAUCCUCCUCCUUCUGACUCAGGCGCAGAAUACAGAUCUGGGCCAAGUGUGUUGGAAGACAUGUUUGGAGCAUAUUAUGCCCCAGACCACUGCUAGUUGAAAUAGGUUAGAGAGAUGAGUGAGGCCCUAUGUGGAAUGAGUGAGGAUCUGGUCUGAGAAUCAGGGAGCCAUAUAACAUCCACCCUCUGGUCCACCAAGAAGAGCUUUGGUGCUGCAGAUAAUCUAGACCACUAUAUAUUAGUGGAGUCUUAAUGAAACAGACAUGCCCAUGAUACAGUGGCUUAGGGCCUAACUUUCGUGUAUAGUAGAGGUCAUUUCGCCAUGUCAGAAAUGGUGAACACAACAGGCUACAUCACAAUACAGGCUACAAAAUAGGCUACAUCACAAUAAGGAACUCGAAUACCCAGAUAAGUUCAGACUAGCUACCAUGCAUGUUUUUAUAUAUUUUCCUUUGUUGGAAAGCCUCCUCUUCUCCCCCCCACUACUAUGGUUACUUAUAUACAACACCCAAGCUGAACCUCCAGAACAUCCACAGUGAAAGAGGAAUCAUAAAAGACAUUCAUGGGGCCAACCAUUACAUCGGAAAAGAAUACACCAGUUUCUCUACUGCUGGUGUUCUUUGGAUUGUGUCUAGGAAAUGGACAUUUCACUAUGAGCAGCCCAGCCAAAGUGUUGGUUGCUAACUUGAGAAAGGCCAGUAAUAUUAUGUAACAUUGCUAAUUCUGAUGCUGGUCUCCUGUUUCUCUGGACAAGACUUGAACCAGAGAUAACAGCAGUGAAAGAUUUUAUAGUGGGUGUUGGAAAGGAUAGGAUACUGCAGCAGUUUCUGAAGAAAUGCUGUAACGGGAGUAUACUGCUGAGUUCUCCAUCUGAAAAGGAAACCCAGAAUCCCCAUUCUUAGGAACCAGCAAGAAAAAAAAAAGAAGCAUGAGAGGAGUUUGCCAUAUAUCUGAUUUGUAUGAACCUUGUUGUAGCUUAUUUUUAAAAUUCUCUAUAUGUUUUUAGGUUUAUAUACAGUAGAAUCUGGAUCAUACGUAUCACUGCUUAGUUCACAGUGGGUUGCUGAAUAAAGGACACUGUUCAGAUGUUUGCCGUGGCUUUUACUUCAAAGGACAACACUUCUCCAAUCAACUAGAGCUCAUCAGCAAUCCCAAAGAGCUGUUUGUUGCUGUCCUAUAUCCUCCCGGCUGGUUCACAAUUCCUCCUCUUCACAGGAGAUUCAGCCAAGAGAUAGACCAGGAAGGUAAAGUACAAAGCCCACUGGAUACUGUCCCUUUCUCACCAAAUGGGCUUUCCAGCCAGUGAUGGAGAAGGAUUGCUUCUAACACAAGAAUCAGGAAAGGGCAAGACUGAUUGCAAGGGUAAUUUGGUGACAACAAACAACAAGAAAUGAAGAUUGCAUAACUAUGUGGAGCAGGGUCAUCAGGAGGCAGAAGAAAAUCACAGAAACAUCUAGAUAGAGAUGGAUGAGGCCCUCAGAACUGUAGCUGAGACAAAGGAAAAUGCUGUAUAGCUGAGACAGCUCAUUAGCAGUCCAAGCUCUGAUGGAAUCAGCACUUGGGGUAACUCCAAAACCACCUACCUACUCAACUGGCUGGGAAGACAGUUAGAAGGCAGAUUCUAAUGGCAGGAUUAAUAUUUCCCAUAGCUUGGCUCCUAUGAUUUAUGUUCCUGGCUAUUAAAAGUAGAAGAAAGGAGGGUUUCAGAGCUGUGUUUGUAUUCCCCAACAGAGAUGUUUGUAAUUUCUAUUUUGCUUGGGAUUUUUUUCAUCUUAAUCCAUUAUCAGACAGACAAAAACAAAGACUUAGCGAUUCCUAUCUUGACCAGUGGCAUAAAUAUUAGACAUGCACACGUUUUUGAAAAUGCACUCUAAGUAUUUGGCUUCAUUGCAAUUUUAGCACUGUGUUUUAUUUUUUCUAAGACUGGAAAAGGUGCAUCACUGAUUCCACUAUUCAUAAUCUUUUCAACAGGAAAACUGGAGAGUUGAGAAGCAAAUAACUGCUUAUCUGCCUCGCACUGUCUCCUCAGGACCCAUCCACAGAUAAAUGAAGAUAAGCUGUGUGAAUGCACCUUUCUUCAGCAAUAAAUUGCACUCAUACAUUAAAUGAAUAAGUGGAUCCUUCUUUGCUAUCA
This is a long non-coding RNA of Alligator sinensis (Chinese alligator), 3865 nucleotides long. RefSeq lists it as uncharacterized. The transcript is spliced from 4 exons. NCBI's taxonomy places the organism in Eukaryota, Metazoa, Chordata, Crocodylia, Alligatoridae. The record is from RefSeq and is a predicted model, not a curated record.